Molecule: non-coding RNA, 113 nt
Organism: Acanthosepion pharaonis
Lineage: Eukaryota; Metazoa; Mollusca; Cephalopoda; Sepiida; Sepiidae
Source: the annotation of a GenBank genome assembly
UAUGGCUAUAUCAUGUUGAUUCACCAGUUUCCAUAUACUCACCAAAAUUAAGCAAUGUUGAGCCUGGUCAAUACUUAGAUGGGUGACCAGUGGGGAAAACCAGGUGCUGUAAG